GGGUGAUUUAUGAAGCUCAGAUCCCCGGACCCCCUCCAACACCCCUGUGCCCGCUUUCCAAUCCCCUCUGUACCUAGAGAAGAUGGAGAGGGUGGAGCUGGAAAGAGAGAGAAAAAAACUCUGCGACCUAAGGAUACUGAAAGAUACAAACAUCGAGCUUCUGAGUUCCUCCCCGAAGGCCCCAGCUUCCUAAUCAACUGGGAGUCUGGACCCACCCCUUCAGAUUACAGCCACAACCAAGGGCCACAGCCCUUCCCGACAACCCCUUUCUGGGACAAGCUAGGAGUGACCCCAGGAAUGCUUUGGUGUCUCCCCACUGGACCGCGAACUUAAGGAUGGAGAGCCUGUCAUCAGUCUUCUAACCCCUCACCUUUGAGGGCGGCCGCCCUCAUCCUGGUGGUGGCUAACCGGAGCUGCAGCCGCCGCCUGCGUGUCUGGACGUCAGAUC
Prionailurus viverrinus (fishing cat) is the source of this 448-nucleotide long non-coding RNA. RefSeq lists it as uncharacterized. Lineage: Eukaryota; Metazoa; Chordata; Mammalia; Carnivora; Felidae. The record is from RefSeq and is a predicted model, not a curated record. The transcript is spliced from 3 exons.